This 1987-nucleotide ribosomal RNA is filed under the name human oral metagenome. Its description in RNAcentral is "bacterial LSU rRNA". It matches the Rfam family "Bacterial large subunit ribosomal RNA", at positions 1 to 1977 of the family's 2925-position model. The record is from RNAcentral.
UAAAGAUUUUAAGGGCGUACGGUGGAUGCCUUGGCGAUAUCAGCCGAAGAAGGACGCGGUAAGCUGCGAUAAGCUACGGAGAGGUGCAAGCAACCUGUGACCCGUAGAUAUCCGAAUGGGGGAACCCGGCAGUGGUUAUGCACUGUCACCCAUACCUUUGAGUAUGAGGAGGGCACCUGGGGAACUGAAACAUCUAAUUACCCAGAGGAACAGUAAUCAAACGAGAUUUUCUUAGUAGCGGCGAGCGAACGGGAAAGAGGCCAAACCGGAGCGGGCAACCGCACCGGGGUUGAGGACAGUCAUCAAGUGUAAAUGAGGUAGAAGAAUCGAGCUGGAAAGCUCAGCCGCAGAAGGUGAAAGCCCUGUAAUCGAAACCUUGCAUACAUGGGACUGUAUCCAGAGUACCACGAGACACGUGAAACCUUGUGGGAAGCAGGGGGGACCACCCUCCAAGCCAAAAUACUGAUAUCGACCGAUAGCGCAUAGUACCGUGAGGGAAAGGUGAAAAGAACCCCUGGCGGGGAGUGAAAGAGAACCUGAAACCGUAUGUCUACAAACAGUCGAAGUCUGUAUAUAUAUCAGGACGACGGCGUGCCUAUUGAAGAAUGAACCGACGAGUUACUGUUGCUAGCGAGGUUAAGUGGAAAACAUGGAGCCGCAGCGAAAGCGAGUCUGAACAGGGCGUUCAGUUAGUAAUAGUAGACCCGAAACCGUAGUGAUCUAUCCAUGGCCAGGUUGAAGCACAGGUAAAAUUGUGUGGAGGACCGAACUCGUGAGCGUUGAAAAGCUUUGGGAUGAGUUGUGGAUAGGGGUGAAAUGCCAAUCGAACUCGGAGAUAGCUGGUUCUCCCCGAAAUAGCUUUAGGGCUAGCCUCGAGGUAGAGAGUAUAGGCGGUAGAGCACUGAUCGGGCUAGGGGCCAUACCGGUUACCGAACCUAGUCAAACUACGAAUGGCUAUACUUAUACUCGGGAGUCAGACAGUGAAUGAUAAGGUCCAUUGUCAAGAGGGAAACAGCCCAGAACACCGACUAAGGUCCCCAAUGUUACACUAAGUGGCGAAGGAUGUGGAAUUUCCAAAACAACCAGGAUGUUGGCUUAGAAGCAGCCACCAUUUAAAGAGUGCGUAAUAGCUCACUGGUCGAGAGACUCUGCGCCGAAAAUGUCCGGGGCUAAAGUGUAAAACCGAAGUCGUGUCAUAUGCAGCAAUGUAUAUGGGUAGGGGAGCGUUCUCAUCGGGCUGAAGCAGUACCGUAAGGAGUUGUGGACUGAUGAGAAGUGAGAAUGUCGGUAUGAGUAGCGAAAAGAAUGGUGAGAAUCCAUUCCACCGAAAGCCUAAGGGUUCCUGAGCAACGAUCGUCGUCUCAGGGUAAGUCGGGACCUAAGCCGAGGCGGAAAAGCGUAGGCGAUGGACAACAGGUUGAAAUUCCUGUACCGGUGUGAAUCGUUUGAUCGAUGGAGUGACACAGUAAGGUAGGUCAGCACGCGAUUGGAAGAGCGUGUUUAAGCAGGUAGGUUGAGCUAUAGGCAAAUCCGUAGCUCUAAAAGCUGAGAUGUGAUGACGAGUGACUAGCAAUAGUCGCGAAGUGAUUGAUCCUACACUGUCGAGAAAAGCUUCUAGGUAGAGACACAUCGCCCGUACCAAAACCGACACAGGUAGGCGGGGAGAGAAUCCUAAGGUGCGCGGGAAAACCCUCGUUAAGGAACUCGGCAAAAUGCCUCCGUAACUUCGGGAAAAGGAGGACUCAUGUAGUGUGAAGAGCAGAAGCGCUUGGAGCAUGAAUGAGUGGCACAAGAGAGGCGCAAGCGACUGUUUACCACAAACACAGGUGCCUGCUAAAGCGAAAGCUGAUGUAUAGGUGCUGACACCUGCCCGGUGCUGGAAGGUUAAGAGGAGGGGUUAGACUUCGGUCGAAGCUCUGAAUUGAAGCCCCAGUAAACGGCGGCCGUAACUAUAACGGUCCUAAGGUAGCGAAAUUCCUUGUCGGGU